Molecule: ribosomal RNA, 258 nt
Filed under: uncultured bacterium
Lineage: Bacteria
Description: partial 16S ribosomal RNA
Rfam family: Bacterial small subunit ribosomal RNA
Source: RNAcentral
GUCCACGCCGUAAACGAUGGGUGCUAGUUAUCGGGACUUUUAGUUUCGGUGACGUAGUUAACGCGUUAAGCACCCCGCCUGGGGAGUACGGUCGCAAGAUUAAAACUCAAAGGAAUUGACGGGGACCCGCACAAGCGGUGGAGCAUGUGGUUUAAUUCGAUGCAACGCGAAGAACCUUACCAUCCUUUGACAUCCUGGUCAUAGACUUCGUAGUGAAGUCGUCAGUUCGGCUGGACCAGUGACAGGUGUUGCAUGGCU